AGGGCGCUAUGACCAUCAAAGCGUCUCUCUUAUGGAGAAAGGUUGACUGAAGUGGGCUUCUUCAGCCUGCAGAAGAGAAGGCUCUGGGGAGACCUCGCUGUGGCCUUAUGGUACUUGAAGGGAUUGUAUACACAGGAGGGAGAACAGCUGUUUACCAGGGUGGACAGCGAUAGGACAAGGGGGAAUGCUUGUAAACUAAUACACAGGACAGUUAGGUUAAACACUAGGAGGAAGUUUUUCACACAGAGGUUGGGGAGGCACUGGAACAGGUUACCCAAGGAGGCGUUGUGUUGCCCCAUCCCCAAAGGCGCUCAAGGCCAGACUGGAUGUGACUGCGCAGCCUGGUCUGAGGGAUGGCAACCCUGCACAUAGCAGGGGGGUUGAAACUGCAUCAAUUGUGGUCCUAUGCAAAUCAGGCCAUUCUGUGAUUCUAUAAUUCUUUGCUGCAGGGGCUCAAAGGAAUGCCGGGCAACAGGACACGAAAACUCCUAACACCUCGGUUUGCAGCAAGGCCUUGCUUAAAAUUUCUUUUAAAGGACAUCUCUGAUGAAGUUAAUGUACUGUAGGGACCUACGAGUUUAUAUCUGAACUGGCUCAAACAAUUUUACUCCAUUUGAACUGAAAGCUCACAAACAUGAGCAGAAAAGGAUAUGAGAUUAGGAAGGUCUACCAAAUGGCAAAGCCUUAAAGAAGAGAAUGCAGAACAGAGACAGAAAGGCAACAAGUGGAUAAACAGCACCACUUCUACAUGUUUGGGGCAUUUCACGCACACCAGGCUAAUUAAGAAGGCAUAAGAACAACAGUCCUUUGGGUUGGAAAUCCAAACCCAUCUGGAAUACUGUGUCCAGGUACUCCUUAUUCCCUCAGGAGUUCUCUCAGUGCCUACCUUAAUUUGACAGAGAUUGCAGAUAUCGACAAUAUAGUAAUCUUGGUGGAAACAGUCACUAAAGUGGACAUGAUUACAACCUAUGACCUUCUACAUUCCCGGUAACAGCAGAAGACAACUGGAAAUCUUCCCUGUGAUCACUGGCAAAUUACUACCAAAGUUACUCAAGGUAGGAAACAGCUGAGAAGAGCUCUGUGGUUUUGCUUACC
Molecule: long non-coding RNA, 1095 nt
Organism: Coturnix japonica (Japanese quail)
Lineage: Eukaryota; Metazoa; Chordata; Aves; Galliformes; Phasianidae
Source: RefSeq, a predicted model, not a curated record